RNAcentral lists this ribosomal RNA (637 nucleotides) under Notiophilus semistriatus. RNAcentral's name for it is "partial large subunit ribosomal RNA". It matches the Rfam family "Bacterial large subunit ribosomal RNA", at positions 1819 to 2741 of the family's 2925-position model. Lineage: Eukaryota; Metazoa; Arthropoda; Insecta; Coleoptera; Carabidae. The record is from RNAcentral.
GUCCUUUUGAAUUUUAUAAUAAGGUCUAGUCUGCCCACUGAAAUUUAUUUUUAAGGGCCGCAGUAUAUUGACUGUGCAAAGGUAGCAUAAUCAUUAGUUUUUUAAUUAAAAGCUUGUAUGAAUGGCUGAAUGAGGUAAAAUCUGUCUCUAUUUAAAUUAAUUUAGAAUUUAAUUUUUAAGUUAAAAAGCUUAAAUUUUAUUAAAAGACGAGAAGACCCUAUAGAUCUUUAUAUUUGUUAUUAAUAAUAUAAUUAAGAAUUUUUAUAAUUUUUUAGUAAUAAAUAUUUUAUUGGGGUAAUAUGAAGAUUAAAAAAAUUCUUUUUUUUUAUAAACAUAAAUUUAUGAAUUUAUGAUCCAAUAUUAUUGAUUAUAAGAUUAAGUUACCUUAGGGAUAACAGCGUAAUUUUUUUAGAGAGUUCUUAUCGAUAAAAAAGUUUGCGACCUCGAUGUUGGAUUAAAGAUUAUUUCAGGUGUAGAAGUUUGAAAAUUUUGGUCUGUUCGACCAUUAAAUCUUUACAUGAUCUGAGUUCAGACCGGCGUAAGCCAGGUCGGUUUCUAUCUUUAAUAAAAAAUUAUAUUUUAGUACGAAAGGACCAAAUAUUUAAUAUAUUUAUAUUUAAUUUUUGAAUAUUAUUAA